UUUUUUUGCCCUUUUGACCGGAUCCAGAAUCUCAUCCGGCCCAAGCCACCCCUACUAAAAGUCUAAAACCCUAAUUCUCUUCCAUGCCUUCCCCCCUCUUUCGCGCUUCCGAGGCGGCGAUAACUCCCAUCUGUUCCGUUCGCGGAGUCCGAAUCAGGGCGGUGGCGGGUAGUUUUUAUUGGUCCAGUGGCGAUUUGCUGCGCAGUGAUCCACCUAAGCCUUCCAAGUAAUUCACCUUUCUUUGUUCGCCAAUUUUUCCUUUUCUAAGCUUUAAUCUGAAUCAUAAUAUAUUGGUCUUUCUAUCUCUGCAAGCUCCCUGGAAAAGUUUCACCUUCUGCUUGUUAAUAUCUUAAAUUUGAUUUUUACUUCCAAUAUUUGGAAAUCUUGAAUAUAUA
RNAcentral lists this long non-coding RNA (395 nucleotides) under Phoenix dactylifera (date palm). Its description in RNAcentral is "long non-coding RNA (PDAC_LNC019900)". The record is from RNAcentral. Lineage: Eukaryota; Viridiplantae; Streptophyta; Magnoliopsida; Arecales; Arecaceae.